AACGAACGCUGGCGGCGCGCCUAAUACAUGCAAGUCGAGCGAGAAGACGUAGCAAUACGUUUGUAAAGCGGCGAACGGGUGAGGAAUACAUGGGUAACCUACCCUCGAGUGGGGAAUAACUAGCCGAAAGGUUAGCUAAUACCGCGUACGCUCCUUGGACUUCGGUUCAGGGAGGGAAAGACGAUACCGUGGGUAGUCGCGCUCUUGGAUGGGCUCAUGUCCUAUCAGCUUGUUGGUGAGGAGCGGCUCACCAAGGCUUCGACGGGUAGCUGGUCUGAGAGGACGAUCAGCCACACUGGCACUGCGACACGGGCCAGACUCCUACGGGAGGCAGCAGUAAGGAAUAUUGCGCAAUGGGCGAAAGCCUGACGCAGCGACGCCGCGUGGGGGGA
RNAcentral lists this ribosomal RNA (392 nucleotides) under uncultured bacterium. RNAcentral describes it as "bacterial SSU rRNA". It matches the Rfam family "Bacterial small subunit ribosomal RNA", at positions 29 to 409 of the family's 1533-position model. The record is from RNAcentral.